Molecule: ribosomal RNA, 386 nt
Filed under: uncultured eukaryote
Lineage: Eukaryota
Description: partial 18S ribosomal RNA
Rfam family: Eukaryotic small subunit ribosomal RNA
Source: RNAcentral
CAAUAGCGUAUAUUAAAGUUGUUGCAGUUAAAAAGCUCGUAGUUGGAUUUCUGGAUAGAACGCUUCGUCCGCCGCUGUGCGGUGUGUACUGAGGUUUUGUUUCGAUUCAUCCUUGCAGGGAAGCGAGUUCGAGAUUAAUUUGUCGGCUCGGGGAACUGCAUCUUUUACUGUGAAAAAAUUAGAGUGUUUAAAGCAGGCAUUUUGCUGUGAAUACAUUAGCAUGGAAUAAUAACAUAGGACUUUGGUUCUAUUUUGUUGGUUGGAGGCCAAGGUAAUGAUUAAUAGGGACAGUUGGGGGUAUUCAUAUUUAAUUGUCAGAGGUGAAAUUCUUGGAUUUAUGAAAGAUGAACUCAUGCGAAAGCAUUUACCAAGGAUGUUUUCAUUAA